CCCUUAGAUGUCCUGGGCUGCACGCGCGCUACACUGGAAGUUACGGAUUGAGAUACUACCUUGUCCGAAAUGGUCCGGGUAAUCACCUAAAAGCUUGUCAUAAUUGGAAUGGAUUAUUGUAACUAGUAAUCCUGAACGAGGAAUUCCUAGUAAGUCCCAGUCAACAGCUGGUACUGAUUACGUCCCUGCCCUUUGUACCCACCGCCCGUCGCUACUACUGAUUGGACGUUUAAGCAAGAUUUUUAAACACUGACAGUGUGUAGUUCACGCUAUACUACAGUGAGAAGAAGAAGAUCGAGCUUACUUGUCUAGAGGAAGUAAAAGUCGUAACA
RNAcentral lists this ribosomal RNA (332 nucleotides) under uncultured eukaryote. RNAcentral's name for it is "partial 18S ribosomal RNA". It matches the Rfam family "Eukaryotic small subunit ribosomal RNA", at positions 1470 to 1796 of the family's 1831-position model. The record is from RNAcentral.